Long non-coding RNA from Dicentrarchus labrax (European seabass), 3846 nucleotides. RefSeq lists it as uncharacterized. The record is from RefSeq and is a predicted model, not a curated record. Lineage: Eukaryota; Metazoa; Chordata; Actinopteri; Moronidae. The transcript has 2 exons.
AAAACAGCCACCGAGGAGGGCAUUGCAAAUCAAAGUGUGUGCUAGCAUGACAGCCAGCAAGCCUGGAUAUCGACUGCAACCCGCCAGCUGGGCGCCAAGGUUUGUUUCUACCACAGAAUCUGGCUUCUCCCUGUCCACCUGCUUUCACUUUGUCUUGAUAACCAGCGGCAGGAAAAGUGAUGUAAAGCACUGACCUCCAUCUAGAGUCAACUUUUUGGGUUUGUUCAGUCACAGAAUUGCCCUUACAGUACAAGGUCAAUAACAAUUACGACUGAAAUAAGAUUUUGAGUGAACAGCUGGGUCCUCCAUCUUCAUCAUGCCAUGCAGUGGCAGCAGGAUACAUUGAAGACUGCUGCUCAAAAUCCCCAAAAUGUUAAUUUGAAACCGUGGCUACUCUAUCCUGUGUGGCUAAUAGCAUUACACAGUGUAACCAUGAACCUGGCACAAGGCCUUAUCCACUGAUAUCUUUGUCUACAAAUGGUGUAUGUUUAUUUUUCUAAUAGAGAAUAAUGUCUACAGCUGCAUUAAUCAGUAUUUUUGUAUUAAACAUACAUCAAAUGAGAUGUCAUAACAACUUUGAAAAAUGACAAUUAAAAAAAGAAUUGUUUUCAGAUAGUUCCUCUGCCCCCAAAUUACAUUAAUAUAUUACCACAGCUUUAAUCUUACAAGAUCCUUUUAGGUAUUUUUAUUGUUCAAAAUAUUUGUUCUAUAAUAAAGUGAUGCAUUAUCUAAAUACAUACUGUAUGUAGAUGUUCCCAGCUCACUUCCUCUUGGGGCUCUUGUGAAACCCCACAUAUUCCAGCCAUGGUUCAUCAUUCUGCUCUUGCUAAAUACCCUCUGCCCUCUUCCAGGGACUCAGUCAGUACUGCCACUAAUGAUUGUCAACAACAAUUUAGGCUUCAGGUUAGAUUGAUUUUAUUGUAAACGACUGGUGCUAUCAGCUAUAGCAUUUUUUAAAAGCACAGGUAUCAAUUUGCUGUUACCUUUGCCAAAAAAAAGACCCUAACCUUAAGAAAUGUAAAUACAAGGUCUUAAUUAUUUAUACAAACAAGAUGUAUGUUUACAAACAUUUCACAUAAUAGGACAUAAUUUAUUCUGAAUCUUGAUUGUAAGACUGUAUCAGAAUAAAAUAUUUAAGUUUAAAGUUAGAAAACUAUAGAUAUUCAGGUAAAGCAAUCCCAAGAUUACAAAGAAAUGAUCAAAGGUCAUUCUAAACAACAGAAUAGGCUGUUUAAACUUAAUAACUGAGUUAUUUCAGUUUACAGAGAUAUAAACAAAUAAAAAUGUCAGCUCCGGUUUAGUCUAGAGAAUGUAUUUUAAGAAAUCACAGAUAAAGGGGGUGUCUUGUUGGAUUCCCAAUAGAGCAAGCUCCUCCUACCGCCCACUACAGCACUGAGAAAUGUCACUAGGUAAUAAUUGCCAUGGGGAUGGCAGAGCCUGGUGAAGCUGGGGGCGGUUUGACUGAGGUCCAUCGUUGAGGUGUGAGGCCUGUCACACACCAGCAUCUUCCAACUGAAACACAGCAUUAAACAGUGGCAGGAUGCAUUUGUUGAUCUAUCUAUCUAUCUAUCUAUCUAUCUAUCUAUCUAUCUAUCUAUCUAUCUAUCUGAUAAAGGUUAUACCACUGGCUUUGGCCUUUGAGGUUUAAAUGUUACUUUAAGGUCAAAGUGUUUGAACUGUAUCCUCCCACUCCCCCACCCCUUUCACAAUGGAAUAUCAAAGCAAAGCAGAUCACACAUUGAAUCCGAGAGUACAAUUAUAUAAAACAUUGAGAUGUGGAGUAAAAGAAGCUAUAAAGACUCAAAAUGAUGCCUAAAAUUUGGUUCAACUGAACUGUAUUUGUGACAGCAGCCUCAUACUGUCGGUGAAAUUAUGAGAGUGCAUUCAAAAUGUUUUACAAACAUAGAAACUCUUUAUUACAACGGUAUCUCUCACUCAACCUGUAGCCAUGUAUUUUUCUAAACACAUACAGUGGAAGUCAUUCUUUUUAUUUUAAUCACAGCAUAAAAACAAUCUCUAAACAAGUGAAAAUCCUAACACAAACGUUCAACAUCAUUCACAGUUUGGGAUUUUUAGACAUGAUGAAAAGAAGAUAUCAAGCUCAACAAGCUUUUGAUUUUGGAUUGGCAUUGUCACUCAAAACAAAAUGUCUUAAAAACCCUGUAUCCACAUUAUGUAAGAAAGAAUUUUUUCAAUCAAACAUGUCCACAUAUAGUUUAUCACACUUAUCCCUAACAGUUUGCUAUAAAAUACUACUCAUCUCAUCAUCAAACUGAAAAAAACUUAGCAAAGACUGCACCCUCAUUUCUAAUAAAAACCUCUUUGAGCGUAUCACACCUGUGUUAUUCUCCUUACAAUAUCAGAAUAGUGUGCAGGAGUCAUACUUGACAUUAAACUGCGCAGGACUGUAAAAUACUGUUGUUGUUUUUUCCUGCAUGUGAGGUAAAAACCCUGAUGAGCAGGGUAGUCAAAAAAAAAAGAAAAAUCUAAAGUUAUUCUCCUUCCAGGAUAAAAAUCUCCAAACGAAGAAGGCAGUUACUGCAUACGUGUCAAAAUACAUCCGCCUCCUUGUAAUGAAAUUCAUAACAAGUACUUAUACUCACGAAUAAAAGAAAAAUGGGCGUGUUGAGUGAAAUACACAACCCACAACUUAUACAGUUUUACUAAACAUAACAUACAGUUUACUACAUUUAACAAACAUAAGAAGUAGAAUCAUAUUUCAAUGCAAUGCAGUGCAUCGAGAGAAUACUGAUUUUUAAGAUCCAUAUUCAAAUAUACUGAUAAAUACAUCACAUGGCAGAAAGCAGGGUGACCCUUAAUCUGAGUUAUAAAGUCACAAGAGAUCAGGCUUGCUUUUAAAUUAAAACGAAAAACAAAAAAAUGUGUUUGGACAAGCACCAAAGAAAGGAGAACAAAAUUCAAAUGGUUACCUGUAAACAACUCGUAGCAAUUGCAUGAGAGUUAGGCCACAAUAUGCGCACCUCAUAAUCAAUUAUAAUCCGAUUGGCAUAAGGGGUAAGAGGGGCAUUAUCAUUGAUGAAAGCCUACCAUCCAAUAAAAAGCAACAGUAGUGCUUUUCCCCCAAUGAAUCCGCUAAAUAAUAGUAGUAAUUUAGUGUAUUUUAUUGCUGUCUGCUUUGAUGUGACUUUUCUUGCAGUAAUUUACAAAACUCUUUUCAAAAAUAAUCAAUUUACCAGUAUCUUAAAAAUGAUUGAUUUGGCAGUUACAAAUACAGUAUCAGUUGGUGUGGGGAACCAUUUAAUCAUCAUUUCUGAAUGCCAAAGGCAAUUUGUCUAAUAGCAGAGAUUUCACUGCACAAUAAUAGAGUUAAUUAAAAAAAAGAAAUUAAAAAUGAAUUGAGAGGGAGCCGGUGUAUUUCAGCAAGUGUUCCCUAAUUUAAGAUCAAAAGGGAUAUUCUGAAAACAUUUAACUAUUCAGUUACCUUUAUAGAAUCAAACAUAUAAUUAGUGUUAUUUUUUUAUAAAAAAAAUAAAAAGGCUUUAACAAGUUACAUCAAUAUUAAUUCACUGAGUCAUUAACUGUACAGAGCUGAGUGGUUGUGUGGAAUGUUUUAAAACCUAGCAGUAAUUUCCCUGUUCACAUUCAACAGUUUGAAAUGUAUCUCAAACAACUGCAUGUAAUUGUAUCAUCAUGACUGUUUAAGGAUGAAAUCUGAUGAGGCAAAGUGCAAUGAUUCAAAAAUACAAGUCAUUGAAAUGAACUGUUGGACAGCUUUCAGUAGAAAUAGAGAAACAAUGUUUUCAACAGAAUAAUUCCUGAAACAGUCUAUAUCUAAAUGAUGAAAAUUUGUCUUAUUUUCAGAAAAUAAAGACGUUAAAAACUUAA